RNAcentral lists this small RNA (75 nucleotides) under Oceanihabitans sediminis. RNAcentral describes it as "Flavo-1 RNA". It matches the Rfam family "Flavo-1 RNA". Lineage: Bacteria; Pseudomonadati; Bacteroidota; Flavobacteriia; Flavobacteriales; Flavobacteriaceae. The record is from RNAcentral.
AUCUCGCGUUAAGGAUUCUAGUGGAAAUCCUUUUUUAUUUCAUAAAAAAGAUUGCAGCGGAAAGCCUGACUUUUU